Molecule: long non-coding RNA, 525 nt
Filed under: Mytilus galloprovincialis (Mediterranean mussel)
Lineage: Eukaryota; Metazoa; Mollusca; Bivalvia; Mytilida; Mytilidae
Source: RNAcentral
GGCCAAAAUUAAUUUUUGAGGGGGGAGGCCCAAAUAAUCUCCAUGGAAAUGAGAUGUGCCAAUGCUAACGCAACUGCAUACCAAAUAUCAUUGACCUACCACUUGUGGUUCACCAUAAACCAGACAUAAUCACAAACAUACAUUGAAUGCUGUAUAUUGACCUAUAAUGGUUUACUUUUAGAAAUUGUGACUUGGAUCGAGAGGUGUCUCAUUGGUACUCAUACCACAUCUUCCUAUAUCUAUUGUUGACAUUAUGAUCAUAUACUCAAGUAAGGUUGCAAUUCAAAAUGUCAUAUUCAGUCUAACAUCAAGAAACCUUUAUAUUUCUCAUUUUUCCCUACUUUUAGCAACAUUGACCUUGACCUUUGACCUGGUGAUUUCUAAGUCAAAACAGACCUAACCCCCAAUAUAUCCAAGUGAAGUUGAAUUCUGAUAUGUGGUAAUAUAUUACCAAUUUGGAAAUACUUUUUGGCACAAAUUGCAGUCAUUUUUCAUCAUCUUUGACCUUGACCCUGAACAUCAAAA